Molecule: long non-coding RNA, 711 nt
Filed under: Salmo salar (Atlantic salmon)
Lineage: Eukaryota; Metazoa; Chordata; Actinopteri; Salmoniformes; Salmonidae
Description: lncRNA (ENSSSAG00000111149.1)
Source: RNAcentral
GUCAAGAAUUCAGCAUAGCAAGUUUGUAUGAAGGUCUGGUUAUUAAAUGGGUACAUAGUUCAAUAGUAAAAUCCUCUAAAAUGCUAUGGUGAUAAACACUCUGCUGCCCUGUUUCCAAUUGUCCACAUGGCUGGGAGAACCUAUUAAAGAUUUCUGUCCUCAGAUAAAGAGAGCUAUGAAAGCCUGUCUACAUAUGAAGAGGUCCCAAUGAAGAGCAGUGGUUCUCAGUCCUGGUCCUGGGGACUCAAAGGGAUACCUUGUAACUGGAGAUUCCUUCACAACGAUUGCCUACAGUUACUGUGUAGGGCACUGCAAGGUUGGGUGACCAGGGCUAUCUGGGACUGCCUCCUGGAGAAAUUCAGGUAUGUGAAGGCUACCCGUGUCCUGCAUAACUUCAUGAAGAUGGACACGAGGACCAGGAGGGGAUCUGCAGCUCGCCGUCGUGUGCCAGAGGAGAAGUCUGCUGCUCUGCAGGAUGUUUCAAGGAUGGAGUCCAACAAAGCAGCAAGAGAGGCAAUCCGUGUGCGGGAGAUCUUCACCUACUUCUUCGAAGAGGGUUAUCAGCUGUGUCGGUGAACCCCUCCUGCAUCUGAACUAUCUACAUACAGUGGGGGGGGGACAGUAUUUGAUCCCCUGCUGAUUUUGUACGUUUGCCCACUUACAAAGAAAUGAUCAGUCUACAAUUUUAAUAGUAGGUUUAUUUGAACAGUG